This is a long non-coding RNA of Odontomachus brunneus, 3422 nucleotides long. RefSeq lists it as uncharacterized. The record is from RefSeq and is a predicted model, not a curated record. The transcript is spliced from 3 exons. NCBI's taxonomy places the organism in Eukaryota, Metazoa, Arthropoda, Insecta, Hymenoptera, Formicidae.
AGUGUUCUGCGCGUAAAUGAAAAUAACGGAAUUUGCAAAAUUACCAUUACAUAAAAUUGUAUGCAGUUUUGCAAAAUUGUCCAAAUUUUGCUAUAAAAAUCUAAAUAAUACCAAUUAAUUAACUAGAUAAUUUAUAAUUUUCUAUUUUACUAAACUUGUACUUUUAGACAAUCCCUUUAGACAAUCUGUAUAAAAAAUCGCAGGAGAAAAUAGUUUCUUUAUGUUUUCAAUGGAUAUGCCGAGUAUAAGUUCUUUUUACAUCACUGAUAUUCAUUUUUUGCAAGUGCCAUCUUCAGUCAUGGCAAAUUAUAUGUUAAUUUUUCCUACUUCACAAAUACACUACAGAAAUUGCGUCAUUAAAGAGAGAGGAGGAACAACGCUAUAAAAUAGAAACACGCGUUAGAACAGCGACUAGACACUCGGUGUAGUGGAUAAUAUAACGAACACAAUGAGCCAAAGUGAAAUAAACGAUACGUGAAGUGCUAACUAAGAGAAAGAAAUCUAGAAAAGGAGAUACGAAGUUUUGGAAACACAAAGAUCAAUCGAAUUUAUAAACAAAAUUCAUAUUGCUCUUUUAUAUUGCUGUAAGAUGAAAUUUUCCGUCUAUAUUCUAUUAGUGAUAUUGAUACUCAGUUUAGUGGCAGAGGAUCUUUGCCAGAGGCGUGGUAGCAGACGGUAUAAAAUAUCAAGAGGACCGCCUAAAGGACAAGUUAGGACUGAAGAAAUUACAAAGGUGCGUUCGAGAAUGUGUGGUAGAGGUCAGAGACGGGGUAUGGGAAGAUGUCGCCCGACCGGGAAAUAGAGUUGACAGGAGGUCAGUAGUUCAGUAAUAGUAUUUCAGCAGAAAACCGGAUGCACGGUAGAAUGCCAAAAUAUCGUCGCCGCAGCACAACGUAAUGACAAAAAUAUUAUGUGUACCGACAAAACUUCAAUAAAUUAUUAGUCCUGCCUAGAAUACGUGCUUAUUUAAAUUACAUUACAUCUUAUACAUAACAAUAUAAUAAGAAAUGCAAUAAAUUAUAUUUCAGUUUUGACAUAUCCAUAUAAUAGAGAAAUACUUCGACUUUUCAGUGACACUUUUCAUUAAGAAAAGAUUACAGAUUGAGCAAUACAUACAUAUUUCUAUCAAUUCAUCCUGUGCAUUACAUAUAUGGUCCACAAACAAAUAAAUUAAAUUAUAUUUUUUAUUAAUUCUUCAGCGCAUUUCCUCUGCGUGUCUGCUAAAAAGCGCGGCCAUCCGGCGGCAAAAAACAAACGUCAUUAGACGAGGACGUGGACGGAAUAAAUCAUGCUUCAUUAUUCUAACUACUAUAAGGAUUUGAUAUUAACAUUGGAACAAAAUUUAUUGUGAAUAUGCAUAGAAAGAGCUUGUGUGCUUUUGGCUAGCUUCCUGGUAGGAAAACAUGUAGCUGAUGCAAAGAGAAGUAAGUAUUUUAUUAAAAGAAUAUAUUUAAAAAUAUAUUCAAUUUUAAAAGAGAUAGAAUAAUUGUAAUGUACAGUAGUUCAAGCAGAGAACCAAUCGCUACCAAAUUUAUAUGUCCCAGAACAUAUAUUUUCUUCACCAGUAAUAACAGCCGUAUUCAAUUAAAUGAACAGCCUUUUUAACAUUCAAAUUAUUAUUAUACAUCAGCUAUCAUUCUAUUUACUAUUGUUUGGGACAGAUAUGCCUUUCCAAAACCCUAGUGGAUUAUUAUAGUCCCAGCUCUAUCGCUUUACCGUCAAACAUAUAACUUCAAUUUUUUUUUUGCAAAAAAAGCAUUAUGCCGAGUGUUCAGCGUUACAAUCCACAGGAUAUUUUAGACACUUUCCGACAAUUCAGAAAAAAAUGUUUUAGAAGAAAAAUUCAUCUGUUCCGUGCAAACUACCACAUGCAGUACAAAAAUUUUGGUAAAACUGCAUAAAAGGUAAUACUUUACCGAUUUUUUCUUUUUGAAGUGUUUUAAAAUAGUAUUCUGUAUAUAAAGUGGUAUAUAUAGAAUAGUAUUUUGAGUAAUUUAUUCCUAUAACUAUAUGGAGAUCGCAUGUAGUUUCUGAGAUAUUUGAGUUUAAAGUUUUGAAAAUGUACAUGUUAUAAAUGGAUCUAACCCUGGCAAUUAUACAUAGAAAUACAUAAAAAUAUAGUAAACAAUAUUAAAUAAAUUUCAAUAUUGAAUAAUUUUCAAUUUAUAUUGUAUACAAAAAUUUUGUUUCAUUUAUAAAAUAUCUUUUGUUAAUAACUUUUUAACAAACAAUGAGCGACGCUUAAAACUUUUUAAAUGUUACUUAAGGACAUAUCCGUGAUAACAUAGGCCAAUAUCGUAAGAGCACGGUCCUCUAUUCAGUAUUUUUACCACGUUUUCAACCAUGAGAUCGAACCAUGUGAACUGAAAGUGACUUAAUAGAAUAGUGUUCUGCGCGUAAAUGAAAAUAACGGAAUUUGCAAAAUUACCAUUACAUAAAAUUGUAUGCAGUUUUGCAAAAUUGUCCAAAUUUUGCUAUAAAAAUCUAAAUAAUACCAAUUAAUUAACUAGAUAAUUUAUAAUUUUCUAUUUUACUAAACUUGUACUUUUAGACAAUCCCUUUAGACAAUCUGUAUAAAAAAUCGCAGGAGAAAAUAGUUUCUUUAUGUUUUCAAUGGAUAUGCCGAGUAUAAGUUCUUUUUACAUCACUGAUAUUCAUUUUUUGCAAGUGCCAUCUUCAGUCAUGGCAAAUUAUAUGUUAAUUUUUCCUACUUCACAAAUACACUACAGAAAUUGCGUCAUUAAAGAGAGAGGAGGAACAAUGUUAUAAAAUAGAAACACGCGUUAGAACAGCGACUAGACACUCGGUGUAGUGGAUAAUAUAAUGAACAUAAUGAACCAAAGUGAAAUAAGCGAUACGUGAAGUGCUAACUAAGAGAAAGAAAUCUAGAAAAGGAGAUACGAAGUUUUGGAAACACAAACAUCAAUCGAAUUUAUAAACAAAAUUCAUAUUGCUCUUUUAUAUUGCUGUAAGAUGAAAUUUUCCGUCUAUAUUCUAUUAGUGAUAAUAAUACUCAGUUUAGUAUCAGACGGCCUUUGCCAGAGACGUGGUAACAGACGGAAUCAAGUAUCAAGAAAUCGGCCUAGAGGACUAAUCACGAAUAAUGUAAUUACAAAGGUGCGUUCGAGAAUGUGUCCCAGAGGUCAGAGGCCGGUUAUGGGAAGAUGUCGCCCGACCGGGAAAUAGAGUUGACAGGUCCAAAGAGAUCAGUAGUUCAAUAAUAGUAUUUCUGCUAAAAACCGGAUAUACAAUAGAAUUCCAAAAUAUCGUCGCCGCAGCACAAAGUAAUGAUAAAAAUAUUAUGUGUACCGACAAAACUUCAAUAAAUUAUUAGUUCUGUCUAGAAUGCGUGCUUAUUUAAAUUUACAUGUUAUAUAUAAAAAUAUAAUGAGAGAAAGAAAGAGAAUUAUGCAGUAAAUUAU